Molecule: long non-coding RNA, 1062 nt
Organism: Myotis myotis
Lineage: Eukaryota; Metazoa; Chordata; Mammalia; Chiroptera; Vespertilionidae
Exons: 4
Source: RefSeq, a predicted model, not a curated record
CGCGGCCGCCCGCCCCUCCCUCGGGGCUGGCUCGGCGGAGGAGACUCCCGCCCUCGGCCCUCCACGCGGCUCCGACCCAACUCUGCCCGAACUCCGAGAGCUGGGCAUGGCCCCGCCAUGCGGAACGUUUUGCUGCCGAGGGCCCCGGCUGGUCUCCCCGCGGGUCACCUGGGUCCCGCCCCGCACCCCAUCCCGCACCCAGUCUUCGGGAGGCCCGGUCGGGCUGCCCUUGGGGAGGUGACAACUGACGCGAACAGUUGAGAGGCCUGGCCACACACCUGCGUGGAUGUGGAUGGAAGCAUGAUUCCCACUGGACCUCGCCUCAGAGAGUUUCAGCUGGACCUUAUGGAAAAGUCACAGCUAGGAGAUAGCUGGGGAGCUGCGAAGGGGUCUGUGUCCAGCUGGCAGUGUUUGCUGAUGAACUGAACGUGGCUGUGACAGACAGGAGUCAAGGACGCCUCCAGUUUCCAGCCUGAACGCGUCCAAGAAUGACCCCAGAAGUCAGAGCUGCAAGCCUCCCCUCACCUCCACGCCUUAACCCCACGCACAGCUCCCUGAGGUCCAGAUGUUUUAUUUCUCCUGAUCUUGGGAGAACUUUACCACGGGAAGUUUGCUCUGCAGAGAACUUGGCCGCACGCGUGGAGCCCUGCGGUCUGUCCUUCGCCCAGGAUGCCCGCGUGGACAAAGACUGCCCUGGCCACCUUGCUCCCCGCCGUGAGAGCGGCGGCACUGGAAUAGCAGCAUGAAUCACCUGAACCGUGACGCCCAGGACGCCUUCUGUGGAGCUGCUGCUGGUGUCCGGGGAGCCGGGGAAGGGGACCCUGCCCCCUGCCCACCCAGGGGCUGCGAGUUCGCCAGCAACCUGGAGAAGCCAGUCGGUGGGAAUGAUGAGAGCGAACAUUUCUCACUGUUCAGACGUGGCUUUACCAUGACACUGAUUCAGCUUAAGCUUUAGGGUCUCCCGUCUGCAUCCCUUCUGCAGCGCCAUACCUCGUGUUUUAAUUGGCAUUUUUCUUUUCUGGAAGAAGGCUCACAUUUUUAUAAGUGUCGGGUCUGACAGGA